UACAGAGGUCUCAAGCGUUGUUCGGAUUCAUUGGGCGUAAAGGGCGCGUAGGCGGCGGGGUCAGUCGGGUGUGAAAUCUUGGGGCUUAACCCCGAAACGGCACUCGAAACUGCCCGGCUGGAGGGCCGGAGAGGAGAUCGGAAUUCACGGUGUAGCAGUGAGAUGCGUAGAGAUCGUGAGGAAGACCCGUGGCGAAGGCGGAUCUCUGGACGGCUAACUGACGCUGAGACGCGAAAGCUAGGGGAGCAAACAGG
RNAcentral lists this ribosomal RNA (254 nucleotides) under uncultured bacterium. Its description in RNAcentral is "partial 16S ribosomal RNA". It matches the Rfam family "Bacterial small subunit ribosomal RNA", at positions 524 to 776 of the family's 1533-position model. The record is from RNAcentral.